RNAcentral lists this transfer RNA (71 nucleotides) under Phytophthora nicotianae (black shank of tobacco agent). RNAcentral's name for it is "Phytophthora parasitica tRNA-Ser". It matches the Rfam family "tRNA". From Rfam's summary of the family: Transfer RNA (tRNA) molecules are approximately 80 nucleotides in length. Lineage: Eukaryota; Oomycota; Peronosporomycetes; Peronosporales; Peronosporaceae. The record is from RNAcentral. RNAcentral also lists the same sequence under 2 other names.
GCCCUCGUAGCUCAAUGGUAGAGCGUUGACUUUGAAAGCCAAGGGUUGGUGGUUCGAUCCCGUCCGGGACA